RNAcentral lists this ribosomal RNA (673 nucleotides) under uncultured bacterium. RNAcentral's name for it is "bacterial SSU rRNA". It matches the Rfam family "Bacterial small subunit ribosomal RNA", at positions 66 to 738 of the family's 1533-position model. The record is from RNAcentral.
ACGAGAAUCUACUGAAAGAGUCUUCGGACAAUGGAUGUAGAGGAAAGUGGCGGACGGGUGAGUAACGCGUGAGGAACCUGCCUUGAAGAGGGGGACAACAGUUGGAAACGACUGCUAAUACCGCAUGACGCAUAGAGGUCGCAUGAUCUUUAUGCCAAAGAUUUAUCGCUUCAAGAUGGCCUCGCGUCUGAUUAGCUAGUUGGCGGGGUAACGGCCCACCAAGGCGACGAUCAGUAGCCGGACUGAGAGGUUGAACGGCCACAUUGGGACUGAGAUACGGCCCAGACUCCUACGGGAGGCAGCAGUGGGGAAUAUUGGGCAAUGGGCGCAAGCCUGACCCAGCAACGCCGCGUGAAGGAAGAAGGCUUUCGGGUUGUAAACUUCUUUUAAGAGGGAAGAGCAGAAGACGGUACCUCUAGAAUAAGCCACGGCUAACUACGUGCCAGCAGCCGCGGUAAUACGUAGGUGGCAAGCGUUGUCCGGAUUUACUGGGUGUAAAGGGCGUGCAGCCGGGUCUGCAAGUCAGAUGUGAAAUCCAUGGGCUCAACCCAUGAACUGCAUUUGAAACUGUAGAUCUUGAGUGUCGGAGGGGCAAUCGGAAUUCCUAGUGUAGCGGUGAAAUGCGUAGAUAUUAGGAGGAACACCAGUGGCGAAGGCGGAUUGCUGGACGAUA